This 485-nucleotide ribosomal RNA is filed under the name uncultured bacterium. RNAcentral's name for it is "bacterial SSU rRNA". It matches the Rfam family "Bacterial small subunit ribosomal RNA", at positions 28 to 508 of the family's 1533-position model. The record is from RNAcentral.
GUUGAACGCUGGCGGCAGGCCUAACACAUGCAAGUCGAGCGGUAGAGAGAAGCUUGCUUCUCUUGAGAGCGGCGGACGGGUGAGUAAUGCCUAGGAAUCUGCCUGGUAGUGGGGGAUAACGUUCGGAAACGGACGCUAAUACCGCAUACGUUCUACGGGAGAAAGCAGGGGACCUUCGGGCCUUGCGCUAUCAGAUGAGCCUAGGUCGGAUUAGCUAGUUGGUGAGGUAAUGGCUCACCAAGGCGACGAUCCGUAACUGGUCUGAGAGGAUGAUCAGUCACACUGGAACUGAGACACGGUCCAGACUCCUACGGGAGGCAGCAGUGGGGAAUAUUGGACAAUGGGCGAAAGCCUGAUCCAGCCAUGCCGCGUGUGUGAAGAAGGUCUUCGGAUUGUAAAGCACUUUAAGUUGGGAGGAAGGGUUGUAGAUUAAUACUCUGCAAUUUUGACGUUACCGACAGAAUAAGCACCGGCUAACUCUGUGC